CAUCAUAGUAACCUGCAUUAGAUUGAAUAAAAUAAAACUCAUUGUCCACCGCGUAAAUUGGAUUUUUGAAUCCAACACGUAAUUGGGCAAUGGACCCAUACAAUGACCCGACCAGAAUAACUUUACCCGAUGACGUGUACCCUAGUUCCUUCCAGCGUCUUCCCCAGCACAAAACAGGCUAAUAGAACUCGGCAUUCUACUUCUUUUGCAUCGGUUCAGAAACUGUAGUCACUCUGGUUGAAAUUGAAGGUUCUCACAGUAAAACUUGUUGAAUUGAGUAAUGGAAGGGAAUGCGAAAAGCGACCAAAUCGUGGAUGUAGGAUCGGUAGUGGAGGCCGUUUCAGUCGAUGACGGUGAUGCUCCUCUCUACAGCCUCGAAAGUCUUUGCAUGCGAUGUGGUGAAAACGUAAGCUUCUCCCCAUUCUCCGCCACCUUUUCCUUUUCCUUUGGCUUUUCAAUGAAUUCACUUUCUACUUUUUCGCGCACCUUUUGCGUGGUUAACUCAGGGAUUAAAUUCUCCAUUCUUUUACUCUCACUAGUGCAGAAAUGUAAAACAACGACCCUUUAUUUAGUGCGGCUUUGCGUUUAAACGCAUUUGUAAAAAACGCGGUGGCAUUUUUGUAAUUAAAUUGAUUUACAAAUGCGGUUCUAGGGUAAGACCGCAUUUGUAAAUCAAUUAAAAUGAAUUACAACUGCUUUGCAUUGUAAGUUUCAGCUCUC
Molecule: long non-coding RNA, 720 nt
Filed under: Phaseolus vulgaris (common bean)
Lineage: Eukaryota; Viridiplantae; Streptophyta; Magnoliopsida; Fabales; Fabaceae
Description: long non-coding RNA (PVUL_LNC002895)
Source: RNAcentral